This 253-nucleotide ribosomal RNA is filed under the name uncultured bacterium. RNAcentral describes it as "partial 16S ribosomal RNA". It matches the Rfam family "Bacterial small subunit ribosomal RNA", at positions 524 to 776 of the family's 1533-position model. The record is from RNAcentral.
UACGGAGGGGGCUAGCGUUGUUCGGAAUUACUGGGCGUAAAGCGCACGUAGGCGGCUUUGUAAGUUAGAGGUGAAAGCCCAGGGCUCAACCCUGGAAUUGCCUUUAAGACUGCAUCGCUUGAACAUCGGAGAGGUAAGUGGAAUUCCGAGUGUAGAGGUGAAAUUCGUAGAUAUUCGGAAGAACACCAGUGGCGAAGGCGGCCAACUGGUCCGGUACUGACGCUGAGGUGCGAAAGCGUGGGGAGCAAACAGG